Molecule: ribosomal RNA, 268 nt
Filed under: uncultured Glomus
Lineage: Eukaryota; Fungi; Glomeromycota; Glomeromycetes; Glomerales; Glomeraceae
Description: partial small subunit ribosomal RNA
Rfam family: Eukaryotic small subunit ribosomal RNA
Source: RNAcentral
UAAAGUUGUUGCAGUUAAAAAGCUCGUAGUUGAAUUUCGGGGUCAGCAAGUUGGUCGUGCCACUGGUAUGUACUAGCUUUACUGAUUCCUCCUUCUUGCAGAACCGUAAUGCCAUUAAUUUGGUGUUGCGGGGAAACAGGACUGUUACUUUGAAAAAAUUAGAGUGUUUAAAGCAGGCUAACGCUUGAAUACAUUAGCAUGGAAUAAUGAAAUAGGACGUUCGAUCCUAUUUUGUUGGUUUCUAGGAUUGACGUAAUGAUUAAUAGGG